RNAcentral lists this ribosomal RNA (484 nucleotides) under uncultured bacterium. Its description in RNAcentral is "partial 16S ribosomal RNA". It matches the Rfam family "Bacterial small subunit ribosomal RNA", at positions 30 to 507 of the family's 1533-position model. The record is from RNAcentral.
AUUGAACGCUGGCGGCAGGCCUAACACAUGCAAGUCGAGCGGAUGAAGGGAGCUUGCUCCUGGAUUCAGCGGCGGACGGGUGAGUAAUGCCUAGGAAUCUGCCUGGUAGUGGGGGAUAACGUCCGGAAACGGGCGCUAAUACCGCAUACGUCCUGAGGGAGAAAGUGGGGGAUCUUCGGACCUCACGCUAUCAGAUGAGCCUAGGUCGGAUUAGCUAGUUGGUGGGGUAAAGGCCUACCAAGGCGACGAUCCGUAACUGGUCUGAGAGGAUGAUCAGUCAAACUGGAACUUAGACACGGUCCAAAAUCCUAAGGGAGGCAGCAGUGGGGAAUAAUGGACAAUGGGCGGAAACCUUGUCCCACCAAUGCGCGGGGGUUGAGAAAGUUCUCGGAAUGUAAAACACUUUUAAGUGGGAGGAAGGGCAGUAAGUUUAAACCUUGCUUGUUUGGCGGUACCAACAGAAUAAGCACCGGCUAACUUCGUG